RNAcentral lists this ribosomal RNA (822 nucleotides) under uncultured Acidobacteriota bacterium. RNAcentral's name for it is "bacterial SSU rRNA". It matches the Rfam family "Bacterial small subunit ribosomal RNA", at positions 95 to 933 of the family's 1533-position model. Lineage: Bacteria; Pseudomonadati; Acidobacteriota. The record is from RNAcentral.
GUGGCGACCGGGUGAGUAACACGUGACUAACCUGCCCUAGAGUGGGGGAUAACCUCGGGAAACCGGGGCUAAUACCGCAUAACAUCACGAGGGGAAGAUCCUUGUGAUCAAAGGAGCAAUUCGCUCAAGGAGGGGGUCGCGGCUGAUUAGCCAGUUGGUGAGGUAACGGCUCACCAAAGCAAAGAUCAGUAGCCGGCCUGAGAGGGCGCACGGCCACACUGGAACUGAAACACGGUCCAGACUCCUACGGGAGGCAGCAGUGGGGAAUUUUGCGCAAUGGGGGAAACCCUGACGCAGCAACGCCGCGUGGAGGAUGAAGUCCCUUGGGAUGUAAACUCCUUUCGAUCGGGACGAUUAUGACGGUACCGGAAGAAGAAGCACCGGCUAACCCUGUGCCAGCAGCCGCGGUAAUACAGAGGGUGCAAGCGUUGUUCGGAAUUAUUGGGCGUAAAGGGCGCGUAGGCGGUGCGGUAAGACUGUGGUGAAAUCUCCGGGCUCAACUCGGAAAUUGCCGCGGUGACUGCCGUGCUGGAGUGUGGGAGAGGUGAGUGGAAUUCCCGGUGUAGCGGUGAAAUGCGUAGAUAUCGGGAGGAACACCUGUGGCGAAAGCGGCUCACUGGACCACAACUGACGCUGAGGCGCGAAAGCUAGGGGAGCAAACAGGAUUAGAUACCCUGGUAGUCCUAGCCCUAAACGAUGAUUGCUUGGUGUGUCGGGUACCCAAUCCCGACGUGCCGCAGCUAACGCGAUAAGCAAUCCGCCUGGGGAGUACGGUCGCAAGACUGAAACUCAAAGGAAUUGACGGGGGCCCGCACAAGCGGU